This 513-nucleotide ribosomal RNA is filed under the name Ornebius marginatus. Its description in RNAcentral is "partial small subunit ribosomal RNA". It matches the Rfam family "Bacterial large subunit ribosomal RNA", at positions 1818 to 2600 of the family's 2925-position model. The record is from RNAcentral. Lineage: Eukaryota; Metazoa; Arthropoda; Insecta; Orthoptera; Mogoplistidae.
GUCUUUUUGUAAUUUAGUAAAAGGUUUAACCUGCUCAGUGAAAAAUUUAAACAGCUGCGGUAUAUUGACCGUACAAAGGUAGCAUAAUAAUUAGUUUAUUAAUUGUAAACUGGAAUGAAAGGUUUGACGAAAAAUGAUCUGUCUUUAUAUUAAAAGUUGAAUUUUACUUUUUAGUAAAAAGGCAAAGAUGAAUUUAAGGGACGAUAAGACCCUAUAGAAUUUAUAUAAAUGUUUUUUGUUGUUUAUUGUAAUUAAUAUUAAUUAAUUAUAUUUAUAUUUUACUGGGGUAGUAUAAAGAAAUAAAAAACUCUAUAUUUAAAGGGACUAAGAUGAUAGAAUAAUUGUUAUGAUCCUGUAUUAUGGGUAAAAGAAUGAAUUACCUUAGGGAUAACAGCGUAAUUUUGUUUGAGAGUUCAAAUUGAUGAUAAAGUUUGCGACCUCGAUGUUGAAUUAAGAUUACAAUUGGGUGUAGAUGCUUAAUUUGUAGGUCUGUUCGACCUUUAAAAUCUUACA